GGAACUGGAGUCAGUUGGCUGCUGUAGGAAGAAGGAAGAGUCAGUGCUUAGAGGAGCUGCUUAUGAGAAACACCAAGGAGGGUCACAGCAAAGCAGUUGGUGCCAUCCCUGUUGCAGUGGAAGGAGUUUGGGAAAGCACAAUGUUGUCACAAAGAGUGCCUGCCUCUGCCUAAGAGAUGAGACCAAUCCUCAACAGAGGAGGUCCAAGGAUGGGAAUUGGGAAUGGGGGAUGCAUUAAAGACACUGUGGAGGUGCAAACACCUGGGCUGGCCUGAGAUGAUGCAGGAGAUGAUGGAGCAACCAACAGACACCUCCUGUAUCAUCAGCAAAGGCUCCUGUGGUCUCCAGCCCUCAGGAGGGGCUGGCAGAGCCCCCAGCUGCAGUUCUGUGCAGAAGAAUUCAGCACUCACUGAGUCCAAGAGGAAGAGAUUAUUGUCCCAAAGCUUGGUGCCCUGGGACACGGCAGCUGUGUGCCCUGGCCCAAGGCUUUUGCAUCGUUGACUAUUUUGUGACCAAUAUCUGAAUGGCUCUUGAAACACAGACUGAAACCAUCUCUUGCUUUUUCCAGCUGGAUUCUUGAUUGUGGUGAGGAUGUUGUUGUAUCUCCAUGCUAUCCAGUACUCUGGGAAUUAGUUUUUCUGAAAUGAGUUUCUGAAAAGGAGCUAGGCACCAAGAUCAGCACAAAUGCGAAUGGGUUAUCCGUGGCCUUGGAUAAAUCAUGGGAAUGACUCUGACAUACCCUGGGUGUGCUUUGUUGCCUGUUGGGGCAGCAGCAGUGGAGUUAUGUGAUGUGAUUCAUUCCCCAGUGCCAUUACCAGAGGGAUAUCAAUCACUGUCACUGCACCAACAAAAUUAGUGAGUUAUCCUGCUGGGCGCUGACAAUGAAAGCACAGAACAGUGCAAAGGCAAGAGGACACUAUUUGAGUACAUGGAGAGGAGUUCCUCUUGUUGCUUCUCUACCCAGGGUCUUGGAAAUUGCUGGUUUCCAAAAUUUUGUGUGAAGCCCAUAAAGACAGCAGAGUAAUGUAAAUUGUUCGCCCAUCCAGCCAACCCCUGAUUAUAAAGCACAUCUAACAGAACUGACAAAAGCUGAGAGAAAUGGACAUCCAUUGGGAAAAUGAAAAAAUGAGUGAUAUUCAUCCUAGAGGAACCUAUAAAACUGCAACACUGUCUUUUCAUAAAAGAGCUACAGGACUAGAGGUCUGGAUUCACAUAAUAGGACUCAUAUGACAAUAACUAGACAAGAAACACAAAAACGCCUCAGCAUCUAAAGAAAAUCAAUGUUUUCAUCUCACAACAGCCUUGUGGUAGCCUUGUGAUUAGCUGUGGCAUUCUCUUGUUCUCAGAGUAAUGAGUAUGUAAAACUGUGUUUUGUAUACAAUUUCUGGGCACCAUGUCAGCUCUUUAGGAUCACUUGAAAGGGAGAUCAGUGGGAAGGAUGCCAUGGCAGUGACUAGAAAAUAACUUUGCAAGUCUUUGUUGUUUCCUCUCUCCUUCAGCCUUCUCACACUCCCCCAAGAGCCCUGGCUGACAGAGCAGACACAGCAUUGUGUUAAACAUGAAUUGUUAAACUCGAGGCAAUGCCAGCCUGGGUGAGGUGAGGUGCUCACCCCAGAGCUGCAGCUGGGCACAUCCUUGUGCCCAGUCCCUGGCAGCACCUCUGUGCUCCUGUGGCUCCUUGCUUUGCUGUAUAUUUGUUUUUCAGGUGCUUUAGUAGCACUGAAACUUGUGGUUUGGGGAUUUUUUCCCCUUCCGCUGUGGCUCUGCUAGCAAAAGAAACCUACCAGCCUUUUGUUCAUCAGUUUUUUUCCUUCCAUGGCAAAUAUUUAUAAGUAAACCAAUCAGUCAUUGUCAAGGGAACUCUAAUGGUAUGCUCCUAUGUGGAUAAUUAUUACUUCCUUGUCAGCAAAAGGUUAUAAAAUUUUUUCUUUUGGGAAAAUGCAAUAGAGACUUUUUUUCCUGGCAGGCAAAUACUGUACAAAUGUUUUUCUCUGGAUAAUACAGCUGAAAAGCUCCUUGUAGGAUUACCUGACAUAAAUGCUUCUGUUAGGCCGAUUUCUGUGUCACUGAAAGACUGUUGACUCUUUUCCUAGGAGGCAAAAGAGCUUUCUAUGGUUUCUUCCUACUGGGAAAACACUUUUACUGGUUCUGUCAGGAAAAUACAAAUAAAAACCCACCUUUUUUUUUUUUUUUUAUAAAUGCAUCAGAAUCUUGGUUCAGAAAAGCGGUUAAAUACAUGAUUAAAUCUGUAUUUACAGGGACAGAUUCUUGCCUGCUCAUCAAGGAUUGCUCACCUAACCAGGUCCUUAAGUGUUGCAAGUACAAGCUUAGGAGUGAAGUUGAGAGGAAUGAUUUACUCUCUGACACUGGCAGCACUUGCAGCUGGCUUGGCUGGAUGGACUUUAUCCUGGAAACAGCUGUCUUGCAUUGAACCAAGGCAAGUUAACUGACAGAAACAUAGAAUCACAGAGCUGUUUAGGCUGGGAAAGACCUUAAACAUCACUGAGUACAGCCAGUGAAAGAACACUAAACAUGAAGGAUACUUGAGGUAGCCAUGGCAGUCAGGCAAAGGAGGGGCCCAGAAAAGUGUGUUGGUCCAGGGCAGUGUGCCUGUGCAUGGUGGCUGCUGUCUGUGACACUUGUCUCAAGGCCUGGUUUUGUCUAAAUUUAUAGAAAUAUAUUUUAGAAGGUGUGAGGGUGAUUUUUUUUUUUUGCUUUUUUGAUUCUUCCCUGUUUUGCCAGUGAUGGUGGGGAAUGUUUCUGGCACUUCAGAUACUUUUGACUAUCAGCUAUUGAGGGAAAUGUUUGAGAAUAGAGUAGGCCUUCACUGCUGGCAUGAAUCAAUGUGUGGUGCAUGAUGUGUGUACAGGAGUCAGAGAAUGACACACUCUGGAAAAUUAUUGCUUUUCACCCUCUUAAUUACUGCUGCUCUGAGGUCUAGGCUGAUGUCUAAGUGCUGUUUCUCAGCUGCUUUAUGUCCAAGACAGAGUAAUAUGAUUCUGAGAAUUAAGAGGAAAUGGAAAAUGAUUUGUAGUUCAAUAGAUCUAAUUCAGCCUCAUUCCUUUCUGUCAGUCUGUCCCCUCCUGCAGAUGGGGGUGGCAUCUCUGUUCUCCCAGCAGAGCUGAACAGCAGGGGCUGCUCUGGGAGAUUGCACAGCUGGACUCACCAAACUUGGCAUUGAUCUCUACAAAAUCUUGGGUGUGACUGUGUGAAAGCUGCAGUCAAAGGUGCUGCAGUCUCAUCCUGGUGCUCAGCAAAGCUGUGGCUGUCCCAGAGGAAGGGUAGAACUUGCUGCUUGCUCUCUUCCCAGUGUGAUGGAAUUGGGCAAAUGCUGAAGCCCCUGGAGCUCACCUGGGGCAAAAGUAACACCCCCACUAGCUGGGCAGUUUCCUGGAAAAGCAGACAAAGCUGCUUGUUUAACAGAAUUGGACCCUCAUGUAAGAAACAGAUUUCUCGGUGCUCUCAAACAAUUUUUUGUUAGUUGAUUCAGAGAGGAGGAGGAAGUGCUGGAAUGGUGAUCUUUGGGCUGAACCAUGAGCAGAGGUGGAGCAUGCACAAUCAGGGGGCAUUUGGCUGAGCAGAGCCAGCAGGAUUCCUGAGCUGCCAAGCACAUGCAGUGAAAACAAUUUAUACACCUGAAAAUUAAGUGGAAAAAUUAGCCUUUAAAGAAGCAGCACACUAGGGAGAGUGAGGAAGGUUGAUGGACUCAUGUUGCUUUCCUGUGAUUACAACAAAAUGAAGCCCCCAGAGGCACUGGUGCUGCAGGGACUGAGGCUGUUGAAGCAAAUGCUUUUGAGGGAAUAUACACUGUUGGUGUAAAACAUCAGUUUGGUUUUCAGAGUGACCAUGAGGUAAAGAGGUAGCACAAAGACACCUGAUGGGCAGAGGGACUGGGAAAAGGACAUUGGAAUUCCUAUUUGUCAACUCUGCUCUAUCCCCAAAACUUAGAAUGUGUAUCAACUUCUUCCAGACUCUGAAGUUCUCCUCCUUCUAAGAGCUGGCCCCUCUCUCUGACUUUCUCACUAGAAAUACCUCCCUGCAGACCAAUAUAAAGUUUGUCUGUGAAUCCCUGACAUCUUUACUGGAUUAUCCUCCCCAGCCACCAGUGGCAUAUAUGAACUCCAACACAUUUGGGUAGUUGUAAAUGAAUAAAGUUGAACUUGGAGGAGGGGAAAAAAAUACCUACUAAAUUUCAAGCAAAUGGGGAAUCCAAAGUAAAAUAUUUUCCCGGGGUUUAAGCCUUUAUUCUGUUGAUGGGAAAUAUCUGUGUGUCACAACAGCCUGACUCCCUGGCUACCAAACCAUAGGGCUACACUUCCCUUGCCUGCGUGUGACAACCCCCCUUUUCAGAGCUUAUCUCACUUGAAGUAAACUUCUUUAAGGUAUUGGCAGGUCCUAACUUAUUUUUGGAAGACACUUUCAGUUUUCACAUAUUUCUUUCCAGCAGUAGAUGGCAGCAAUUUUCUUAGUCCUAAUCUGAUAAGAUCUGUGUGCUAAUUACUGUAAAUGACUAUAUUUCAAAAGGUAAAGCCUUCAGUUGCCCUUUUUGGCAGAUAUUGCUAACUAAGCUAUCAUCCCUGCUGUCCUGCAGGCAGUGCAGUGCUGACAGUGGCAGACAGUGUCUCCCAGGCUGUCUGUGCUGGAGAGGCAGCAGGACACCAACCAACCUGGCCCCCUGGAUCAGCCUCAGCCAUCCCUGGGGUUAUUCUUUGGGGAUAAAAGAGAUAUGGGAAAAUGUGGGCCCACAGCCUCACCUUCAUCUGAGAGGGGAAGUGAAAAACUUGGAAAUAAUGAAGUGCAAAAAUGCUGUGAUGAAUUGACUAGUUAAAGUCUGAAGAAAAUGAAAAGAGCAGAGAUGCUUUGGCUCAGAAAUAAUCAAUCUGUGCAUAUUGCUCUAAACUGAAUUUUCCUCUUUGUACAGGCUGGAUAUUUAUUUCCAGAAAAGGGUCAUUAGGAGACUCACUUUAAAAUGAAAUGUUUGUGAUCAGUAUAAAAGUUUGCAACAAGAGACAGAAAGUGUGAGAAAUGAAUUGAGCAACGUUAUUAUAUUAAGCUAAUAUAUAACGACAUCUGUUAUGUGAGCAUAGAAUAAUGUUGAAAUUAGGGAAGCUUCAUCAACUUUGAAUGAAUAACUGAUCUCCAGUGGACAGAGAGAAAACUGAUUUUAAUGACUGUUUUAAACUAACAUUUGGUGAAAUAAAUGUUUAAUGCAUUUGUUCUAAACCAGAAUUAAAGUGCCGUGUCUUUUUCAUAGCU
Molecule: long non-coding RNA, 5256 nt
Organism: Zonotrichia leucophrys gambelii
Lineage: Eukaryota; Metazoa; Chordata; Aves; Passeriformes; Passerellidae
Exons: 4
Source: RefSeq, a predicted model, not a curated record